This 1696-nucleotide long non-coding RNA is filed under the name Paramuricea clavata. The record is from RNAcentral. Lineage: Eukaryota; Metazoa; Cnidaria; Anthozoa; Malacalcyonacea; Plexauridae.
AUUUAGAGCUGUUUUCGGUUGUUUUUUAGCUAGAAAAUCUUUUCCUCGCACUUUACUUGCUUUACGAUGUGGAGGAAAAGUGCCGUUUUGUUCCGUUUGUUGAUGCAAGAAUUCACUAUCAAGAAAGAUUAACUAUUCUUUCAGGUAAGAUUCAUGAAACUAUUUUUACUUUGUAGAACCUUGCUAGAUAUAAAAUGACUCUCGAAAUGAGUCAAAUGACUAUAUUAGUAUAACUAUAUAAGUCAAAAACUCAUGCUACUAUAUAUAUACAGAAAAUAUUUCAGUAGCAGACACAUUAAAGAGCCUCUGCAACCGGGUACGGACACAUAAAUCCUGUUUAUAAUCGUUGAAAAUUGUGGACAUGAAAUUAUGUUGUUUUGUGUUUUUUAUUGCCAGUUUUUAAUAUAAAUUUAUAAUUGUGGUUGUUCACCUGCUCACAUGAUCGUACAGAUUAUAUAUGGUGUGAAUCAGGAUUAAUAUAUAGAUAAGCACAAAGACAGAGAGUGUGAGACAGAGGGAACAAAAUACCCAGGACCUGGGAGUGUUCAAAGCAGUGUGCAAAAGUUGGAUAAGCGUGAUUGCUUGCCUAUGUGCUUAAUUUAUAGAGAGAUAUGGUAUAACUGAAACUUUCUUUUGAGCUAAAUUUAACAAUCUCUCUCAAUAGGGUAACAGCAAGUGAUAGUCCAGAAACCGCACAGACUUCAUGUCCCGUGAACAAGGCUGCAUAUUGCAUAUUCCCCCACAAUGAGCGAGUCGCACUGAGCUUGGACAAGCAAGUCCUACUUUUGCCAGGCUUUUUGUAGCAGUGUUUAUAUAUGGGGUUGUAGGGCAGUGGUGGCCACUUAUUGGGGGGGGGGGGGGGGUGAUUUAGGUUGCCACCAUACGACCGUGCACUUUAGAUUGUUGGAUAUCAUAGUUCUUUAAGCUUUUUUGCCUUAACCCAUGGAGCACCAGUGUGCUCUCCCCUUGACAAGUAAAAUUGUCUGGCAUUAGACAGAUCGAGUAAAAUAAUCUGGUGUUAGACAGAGUAAGAUUAACUAAAGUUGGGCACAUUGGGUAUGCAGAUAGUUUGAUUUAUAUUCCAUUGAGUGCCAUAAGCACUCUCCCCUUGAUGAGUAAAAUAGUCAUGCAUAACCAUGCAGAAGAUUUAAUCCACUGAGUGGCAGUGCUCUCCACUAAAGUACAUUAGGGUGCAUUGCCACUUAAAGGGUUAACAUAUAUGUAAUACUUAUUUAUAUUUUUGUUAAUUACUAAAGAUGUGUAAUAACAUGAAUAAUGUUAUCUUUUUCUGCAGGAUUUAUCUGACAUGUUUAAUACAGGUACCAGAAGAGAUGGCACAGGAUGCCAAAAUGGAGAAGAACAAAUUGAAGUUAUGAUAAUAAUUAGUCACUUACCAAUUACUGUAGUCAAGUAUAAUUAUGGUGCAACUCUUUUAUUGACAAUAAAGAGUACUACACACAGUGACUUUAAUUUUUUAAUUCACACUACAUUAAAUUUAAAUGUACGUCUUGUGUCUAAAUGUAGUAUGUACAUGUUUGUACAAUUGUACAGCAGGGACUGAGAGAGCAGAAAAGAAAGUUAGUUAUUAUAUUGUAUUAAAAUAUAUUCAAAGCACCAACAACAACCUUUUAUCAGAUUUAUAACAUGAGGCAAUACCCAAGUGUUUUAAUAGAUCUGAUGAAACAUGUACUGUGAG